Molecule: ribosomal RNA, 252 nt
Filed under: uncultured bacterium
Lineage: Bacteria
Description: partial 16S ribosomal RNA
Rfam family: Bacterial small subunit ribosomal RNA
Source: RNAcentral
UACGUAGGGGGCAAGCGUUAUCCGGAUUUACUGGGUGUAAAGGGAGCGUAGGCGGCUUAGUAAGUCAGAAGUGAAAGCCCGCAGCUCAACUGCGGGACUGCUUUUGAAACUACCAGCUAGAGUGUCGGAGAGGUAAGUGGAAUUCCAUGUGUAGCGGUGAAAUGCGUAGAUAUAUGGAGGAACACCGGUGGCGAAAGCGGCUCUCUGGCCUGUAACUGACACUGAGGCUCGAAAGCGUGGGGAGCAAACAGG